RNAcentral lists this ribosomal RNA (330 nucleotides) under uncultured eukaryote. Its description in RNAcentral is "partial 18S ribosomal RNA". It matches the Rfam family "Eukaryotic small subunit ribosomal RNA", at positions 1470 to 1796 of the family's 1831-position model. The record is from RNAcentral.
CCCUUAGAUGUCCUGGGCCGCACGCGCGCUACACUGAGUGUCUGAGAUACGAGUCUGCCUGGUCCGGCAAGGUCUAGGUAAUCGCUAAAAGACACAUCAUGCUUGGGAUAGAUUAUUGCAAAUAUUAAUCUUGAACGAGGAAUUCCUAGUAAGCGCAAGUCAACAGCUUGCGUUGAUUACGUCCCUGCCCUUUGUACACACCGCCCGUCGCUACUACCGAUUGAAUGGCUUAGUGAGGCUUCCGGAUUGGUUUAGAGAAGGGGGCAACUCCAUCUUGGAACCGAGAAGCUAGUCAAACUUGGUCAUUUAGAGGAAGUAAAAGUCGUAACA